AGAAUCUUUCGCAAUGCCCGAAAGGGUGACGAAGCGACGCCGCGUGUGGGAAGAAGGCCUUCGGGUUGUAAACCACUGUCGGGAGUUAAGAAAUGCAAGGGUGUUAAUAGCGCCCUUGCUUGACUAAGGCCCCGGAGGAAGCUACGGCUAACUCUGUGCCAGCAGCCGCGGUAAUACAGAGGUGGCAAGCGUUGUUCGGAAUUAUUGGGCGUAAAGAGCACGUAGGCGGCCUUGAAAGUCAGUUGUGAAAUCCUUCCGCUUAACGGAAGAACUGCAUCUGAUACUCCAGGGCUCGAGUGCGGGAGGGGAGAGUGGAACUUCUGGUGGAGCGGUGAAAUGCGUAGAUAUCAGAAGGAACGCCGGCGGCGAAAGCGGCUCUCUGGUCCGCAACUGACGCUGAGUGUGCGAAAGCCAGGGGAUCAAACGGGAUUAGAUACCCCGGUAGUCCUAGCCGUAAACGAUGGGCACUAAGUAGAGGGGUUUUGAUUAUCUCUCUGCCGGAGCUAACGCAUUAAGUGCCCCGCCUGGGAAGUACGGCCGCAAGGCUAAAACUCAAAAGAAUUGACGGGGGCUCGCACAAGCGGUGGAGCAUGUGGCUUAAUUCGAUGCAACGCGAAGAACCUUACCGGGGUUUGACAUGGUAGAAGUAGGAACCCGAAAGGGUAACGAACGGUAUCCAGUCCGUAACUAUCACAGGUGUUGCAUGGCUG
RNAcentral lists this ribosomal RNA (710 nucleotides) under uncultured anaerobic ammonium-oxidizing bacterium. RNAcentral describes it as "bacterial SSU rRNA". It matches the Rfam family "Bacterial small subunit ribosomal RNA", at positions 358 to 1051 of the family's 1533-position model. The record is from RNAcentral.